RNAcentral lists this ribosomal RNA (253 nucleotides) under uncultured bacterium. RNAcentral's name for it is "partial 16S ribosomal RNA". It matches the Rfam family "Bacterial small subunit ribosomal RNA", at positions 524 to 776 of the family's 1533-position model. The record is from RNAcentral.
UACAGAGGGCCCGAGCGUUGUUCGGAUUCAUUGGGCGUAAAGGGUGCGUAGGUGGCGCCGUAAGGGGGGUGUGAAAUCCCGGGGCUUAACCCCGGGACUGCAUUCCAUACUGCGGUGCUUGAGGACUGGAGAGGAGACUGGAAUUUACGGUGUAGCAGUGAAAUGCGUAGAGAUCGUAAGGAAGACCAGUGGCGAAGGCGGGUCUCUGGACAGUUCCUGACACUGAGGCACGAAGGCCAGGGGAGCAAACGGG